This 1630-nucleotide unclassified non-coding RNA is filed under the name Dermacentor andersoni. RNAcentral describes it as "uncharacterized LOC126517885". The record is from RNAcentral. Lineage: Eukaryota; Metazoa; Arthropoda; Arachnida; Ixodida; Ixodidae.
GGCAGCCAUCUGGCUGACUGAAGGUGUGGGCUAGCGCGUGCGUCAUUGGGCACGUGACGACACAGCCACUGGGGAGGUUGUGGCGCCACUUCACAAGUGUGUGGCGACGCCAUACUCGCGGUAGGCUAGCCAUCGUGACGUGCGUUCUACUUGAGCAUCCCGGCUAGUUUCCGAAUGUCUUCUAAACGACCACUUACGCCAGAAAAGUUGGAAGAACGGAGGCGACGCCAUGCAGCAGUUCAACGCCGCUGGUACGCCGCGAGAACGGGUGCUGAACGGGAGCGCCUGCUCCAGCGAAAGCGUGAAGCAGAACGCCGUCGUUACAGCGGUUUGGAUGAAGAACAACUUGCUCAACGGAAACAAAGGAGACGCGAAAAAGAUCUAGCACGCAUCUAUAGUUCACUAUAUCUACUACACGCAGGAACGCGCGUCGAAGCGGCUGAAGCGGUUCGUCAAUCUGACAACAUACAUGCAGUGAAACAAGAGCCACCGCAGAGCCCAACAACUUCUGCAGGUGAAUCUGGCGAGAGUUCUGGAAUAUCACCCAAGGCUGAGAUUGGCAAGAAAUCACGACAUCGCUGUGCGGUUGUUGGUUGCACCAAGCCCACCAAGCCUCUACAUCGGAUGCCCCAGAACCUCGAGCUGCGGCGCAAGUGGCUGGAGAUAAUCGGCCUCCUCGAGUCGGAGACGCGAACCUUCCUAUUCGUGUGCAAACGGCAUUUUGCCGCCGAUGCUUACACACUAAAUCCAGACCUGCUGCAGGACAUGGGCUUCACAACUAGGUACUACCUGCGGGCAGAUGCAGUGCCAUCCCUGUUUCUUCCCAGCGAUCUAAAGCAAGAAGCACAGCAAGAAACACCGCAGAGCCAUUCAACAGCUGAAACACAGCCCCAGACAUGCAGGCGGACCUCGACUUUGGUGUCUCGGCGGGGACACAGACCGAUGACCUGGCACUGUUCACACGUACGACACAGAACAUCGAGCAAAAUGCUGCAUCUCCACCGGAUCGAACGUGUGACUGCAGCUGCCAUCGCGUGUGCCACUGUAGUUGCCGGCAAAGUGCAGUGAACUCGAUAGCCACACAAACUACCACAAUUGGGAGCGUGAUCUGCCUGUGGACAUCAUGAUAAAGUCUUGUAAGUGACGUUGGUAGACUUCAGUGUCAACAGACUUAUGUCUGUGGUGGCACGGACCACUGCCUGUUCUGUGGUAUUGCCCGUGACAAGGAGUGCCAUGUCAUUCUCUGGCAGUAUGACUAGUUCCAGAGACCCGAUUCGUCAAUUCAAGUGGCACCAAACAACCAAGUGCAGCUUGAGGAAGAGGUGCCAACAGAAUGCAGAUGCGAUCAACAGUGCCGUUCAACAAAGGGGCAAAGUCAUCAGCCUUCUUUCCGUACCUUUGAUGCCAAGCUUCUCUGCUAACAUUAUCCUAUGGCACUCUCACCAGCUGCGACUGAUAGCACAGAAAAAUUUUCAUCUGACCAAAGAUGAUCAAGUUCAUUCUUUGGCUACUACUCAUGGUAACUUGUGAGAAAAUGGUUCUCAUAUAUCAUCCUGCUUUUCACCUUUGAAAUUUAAAAGCAGAGAUGAAAAGCAAAGGCAUGCAAUAAACCAUGUGACAUUUCCUGAAA